This 88-nucleotide transfer RNA is filed under the name Magnetococcales bacterium. Its description in RNAcentral is "tRNA-Ser". It matches the Rfam family "tRNA". From Rfam's summary of the family: Transfer RNA (tRNA) molecules are approximately 80 nucleotides in length. Their secondary structure includes four short double-helical elements and three loops (D, anti-codon, and T loops). Lineage: Bacteria; Pseudomonadati; Pseudomonadota; Magnetococcia; Magnetococcales. The record is from RNAcentral.
GGAUGGGUGGCCGAGUGGUUUAUGGCAACGGUCUUGAAAAUCGUCGUGUCGCAAGGCACCGGGGGUUCGAAUCCCUCCCCAUCCGCCA